UUAGAUAAGGAGAACAGGGGUCCUGAAAGAACCAGACUACACCUGAUUAAACCUACUAAAGCUUGCUGGAGCAAGCCACUGAAUCGAUCACAGCGUAAACUGGUGGCUCAAGCUCUUUCAGUAAGUAAGGAUGAUGAAGUGGCAUAUGUGGGCUCUACAGUAAUAAAACAGAAAGACUUUACAACUCUGACAGAACUUUCUGAGGUUGAAGGAAGUGUGCUGAAUUCCUGCUUUUGUGUUCUGCAACGGAUUGCCCUCUCACAG
This is a long non-coding RNA of Carassius auratus (goldfish), 264 nucleotides long. RefSeq lists it as uncharacterized. The record is from RefSeq and is a predicted model, not a curated record. The transcript is spliced from 3 exons. NCBI's taxonomy places the organism in Eukaryota, Metazoa, Chordata, Actinopteri, Cypriniformes, Cyprinidae.